Molecule: long non-coding RNA, 2333 nt
Filed under: Cyanistes caeruleus (blue tit)
Lineage: Eukaryota; Metazoa; Chordata; Aves; Passeriformes; Paridae
Description: lncRNA (ENSCCEG00000001971.1)
Source: RNAcentral
GCCGUCAGGGGGGCGGCGGCGGCGGCGCUGAGGGAGCUGAGGGAGGAGCUGCAGGUACUGGCUUAUACUGGUUUAUACUGGUUUAUACUGGGAGGGGUUUGGAUGAUUUUUUUAGGGAAUUUUUAGGGAAUUUUUUUAGGAAUUUUUGGGGAAUUUUUGUGGAAUUUUGGGGGAAUUUUUGAGAAAUUUUUAGGGAAUUUUUAAGGAAAUUUUAGGGAAUUUUUGAGGAAUUUUUAAGGGAUUUGGAGGGAAUUUUUGGGGAAUUUUUAGGGAAUUAUUUGAGGAAUUUUUGAGAGAAUUUUUGGGAAUUUUUGAGGAAUUUUUAGGGAAUUUUUGAGGGAAUUUCGAGGGAAUUUUAAUGAAUUUUUUAGGGAGCUUUAGAGAAAUUUUUGAGGAAUUUUUUGGGAAUUUUUGAGGAGUUUUUGAGGAAUUUUUAAAGGAAUUUUUAAAGAAUUUUUGGGGAAUUUUUAAGGGGUUUUGAGGGAAUUUUUUUGGGAAUUUUUGAGGAAUUUUUGAGAAAAUUUUUGGGAAUUUUUAGGGAAUUUUUGGGGAAUUUUUGAGGAAAUUUCUGGGAAUUUUUGUGGAAUUUUGGGGGAAUUUUAAGGGAAUUUUUUGGGAAUUUUUGAGGAAUUUUUGGGUGAAAUUUUGGGAAUUUUGGGGUGAAUUUUUGGGAAUUUUUGGGUGAAAUUUUGGGAAUUUUGGGGUGAAAUUUUGGGAAUUUUGGGGUGAAAUUUUGGGAAUUUUUGGGUGAAAUUUUGGGAAUUUUUUGGGGUGAAAUUUUGGGAAUUUUGGGGUGAAAUUUUGGGAAUUUUGGGUGAAAUUUGGGGAAUUUUUGGGUGAAAUUUUGGGAAUUUUGGGGUGAAAUUUUGGGAAUUUUUGGGUGAAAUUUUGGGAAUUUUGGGGUGAAAUUUUGGGAAUUUUGGGGGGAAUUUUUGGGAAUUUUUGGGUGAAAUUUUGGGAAUUUUUGGGGUGGAAUUUUGGGAAUUUUGGGGUGAAAUUUUUUGGAAUUUUUCGGGAUCAGCCCGAGGUGGCUCCGCUGGCGGCCGAGGCCCUCCCGAGGAUUUUGGGGGAAUUUUGGGGCUCCCGGAAUUCCGGGAAUUCCCCAAAUCCCGACCCCAGGUCCUGGUUCGUGCUGGAGACGCUGCUGGAGGCGCUGGGGGAGGGGGUUCAGCCCUGGCUGCCCCAGGUGAUUCCCAGGAUUUUGGGAGCUUUGGAGGCGUCGGAGCCGGAGCGGAGCCGGGAGCUGGCGCUGAGCGCGCUGCACGCGCUGGCCUGCAGCUCCGGCUCCCUGCACCUCCCCUCCCCCGCCCUGGCAGCCGUCACCGCCCUGGCCCGGGGGGGACCCCAGCAGUUACAGGCACUGGAGGUGCUGGCGGCGCUGGGCCCGGCCGUGGUGGGGGAGGGGCUGCUGGAGGCUCUGGAGCGGGGGCUGGGCCUGGCCCCGGGGGAUCCCGAGGCCACCAGGGUGAGGUGAGUGAGGCAAUUCCCCCAAAAUUCCCAAAAAUUCCCCCAAAAUUCCCAGAAUUCCCUGAAAUUCCCCAAAAUUCCCCAAAUUCCCAGAAUUCCCCAAAUUCCCAAAAAAAAUUCCCCAAAAAAAUUCCCAAAAAAAACCCCAAAAAUCCCAAAAAUUCCCCCAAAAUCCCCCCAAAUUCCCCCAAAUUCCCAGAAUUCCCCAGAAUUCCCCAGAAUUCCCAAAAUUCCCAAAAUUCCCCAAAAUUCCCCAGAAUUCCCAGAAUUCCCCAAAAAAAGCCCCAAAAAACUCCAAAAAUUCCGCCAAAAAUUCCCAAAAAUUCCCCAAAAUUCCCAAAAAUUCCCCAAAACUCCCCAAAGAAAUUCCCCAAAAAAAUUCCCCCCAAAAAUUCCCAAAAAUUCCCCAAGAAUUCCAAAAAAUUCCCACAAAAUAUUCCCAAAAACCCCCGAAAUUCCCCCCAAAAAACUCCAAAAAACCCCAAAAAUUCCCCCAAAAAUUCCCAAAAAAAUCCCUGAAAAUUCCCCCAAAAAAUCCCAAAAUUGAAAAAAAACCCCAAAAAUUCCCCAAAAAAAAUUCCCAAAAAAACCCCAAAAAACCCCAAAAAAUUCCCAGAAAAUUCCCCUAAAAAUCCCAAAAAACCCAAAAAAAUUUCCAGAAAAUUCACAAAAAAUCCAAAAAAUUCCCCCAAAAUUCCCCAAAAAAAUCCCUGAAAAUUCCCUCCAAAAAAUUCCCAAAACCCCCCGAAAUUCCCCCAAAAAACCCCCAAAAAUCCCAAAAAUUCCCUCGAAAAUUCCCAAAAAUUCCCCAGAAAAUUUCCCAAAAAAAUUCCCCCCCAAAAAUUCCCCCAAAAAUCCCCAAAAAU